GACGAACGCUGGCGGCGUGCUUAACACAUGCAAGUCGAACGGAAAGGCCCUGCUUUUGUGGGGUGCUCGAGUGGCGAACGGAUGAGUAACACGUGAGUAACCUGCCCUUGACUUUGGGAUAACUUCAGGAAACUGGGGCUAAUACCGGAUAGGAGCUCCUGCUGCAUGGUGGGGGUUGGAAAGGUUCGGCGGUUGGGGAUGGACUCGCGGCUUAUCAGCUUGUUGGUGGGGUAGUGGCUUACCAAGGCUUUGACGGGUAGCCGGCCUGAGAGGGUGACCGGCCACAUUGGGACUGAGAUACGGCCCAGACUCCUACGGGAGGCAGCAGUGGGGAAUAUUGCACAAUGGGCGGAAGCCUGAUGCAGCAACGCCGCGUGCGGGAUGACGGCCUUCGGGUUGUAAACCGCUUUCGCCUGUGACGAAGCGUGAGUGACGGUAAUGGGUAAAGAAGCACCGGCUAACUACGUG
This 468-nucleotide ribosomal RNA is filed under the name uncultured bacterium. Its description in RNAcentral is "partial 16S ribosomal RNA". It matches the Rfam family "Bacterial small subunit ribosomal RNA", at positions 28 to 507 of the family's 1533-position model. The record is from RNAcentral.